Molecule: ribosomal RNA, 1396 nt
Filed under: Escherichia coli
Lineage: Bacteria; Pseudomonadati; Pseudomonadota; Gammaproteobacteria; Enterobacterales; Enterobacteriaceae
Description: partial 23S ribosomal RNA
Rfam family: Bacterial large subunit ribosomal RNA
Source: RNAcentral
AGUGUGUUUCGACACACUAUCAUUAACUGAAUCCAUAGGUUAAUGAGGCGAACCGGGGGAACUGAAACAUCUAAGUACCCCGAGGAAAAGAAAUCAACCGAGAUUCCCCCAGUAGCGGCGAGCGAACGGGGAGGAGCCCAGAGCCUGAAUCAGUGUGUGUGUUAGUGGAAGCGUCUGGAAAGGCGCGCGAUACAGGGUGACAGCCCCGUACACAAAAAUGCACAUAUUGUGAGCUCGAUGAGUAGGGCGGGACACGUGGUAUCCUGUCUGAAUAUGGGGGGACCAUCCUCCAAGGCUAAAUACUCCUGACUGACCGAUAGUGAACCAGUACCGUGAGGGAAAGGCGAAAAGAACCCCGGCGAGGGGAGUGAAAAAGAACCUGAAACCGUGUACGUACAAGCAGUGGGAGCCUCUUAAUGGGGUGACUGCGUACCUUUUGUAUAAUGGGUCAGCGACUUAUAUUCUGUAGCAAGGUUAACCGAAUAGGGGAGCCGAAGGGAAACCGAGUCUUAACUGGGCGUUAAGUUGCAGGGUAUAGACCCGAAACCCGGUGAUCUAGCCAUGGGCAGGUUGAAGGUUGGGUAACACUAACUGGAGGACCGAACCGACUAAUGUUGAAAAAUUAGCGGAUGACUUGUGGCUGGGGGUGAAAGGCCAAUCAAACCGGGAGAUAGCUGGUUCUCCCCGAAAGCUAUUUAGGUAGCGCCUCGUGAAUUCAUCUCCGGGGGUAGAGCACUGUUUCGGCAAGGGGGUCAUCCCGACUUACCAACCCGAUGCAAACUGCGAAUACCGGAGAAUGUUAUCACGGGAGACACACGGCGGGUGCUAACGUCCGUCGUGAAGAGGGAAACAACCCAGACCGCCAGCUAAGGUCCCAAAGUCAUGGUUAAGUGGGAAACGAUGUGGGAAGGCCCAGACAGCCAGGAUGUUGGCUUAGAAGCAGCCAUCAUUUAAAGAAAGCGUAAUAGCUCACUGGUCGAGUCGGCCUGCGCGGAAGAUGUAACGGGGCUAAACCAUGCACCGAAGCUGCGGCAGCGACACUAUGUGUUGUUGGGUAGGGGAGCGUUCUGUAAGCCUGUGAAGGUGUACUGUGAGGUAUGCUGGAGGUAUCAGAAGUGCGAAUGCUGACAUAAGUAACGAUAAAGCGGGUGAAAAGCCCGCUCGCCGGAAGACCAAGGGUUCCUGUCCAACGUUAAUCGGGGCAGGGUGAGUCGACCCCUAAGGCGAGGCCGAAAGGCGUAGUCGAUGGGAAACAGGUUAAUAUUCCUGUACUUGGUGUUACUGCGAAGGGGGGACGGAGAAGGCUAUGUUGGCCGGGCGACGGUUGUCCCGGUUUAAGCGUGUAGGCUGGUUUUCCAGGCAAAUCCGGAAAAUCAAGGCUGAGGCGUGAUGACGA